AUUCAAAUAUCUGCCCUAUCAACAUUUCGAUGGUAGGAUAGAGGCUACCAUGGUUGGUGACGGGUAAUCGGGGAAUAAGGGUUCGACUUCCGGAGACGGGAGCCUGAGAAACGGUACCACAUCCACGGAAGGCAGCAGGCGCGCAAAUUUACCCAAUCCCGACACGGGGACGGUAGUGACAACUAAACUAACAAUAUACGGGCCCUUUAUGGGUCUUAUAAUGGGAAUGACGUACAAUUUAAAUCCGUAUAACGAGGAACAAUUGGAGGGCAAGUCUGGUGCCAGCAGCCGCGGUAAUUCCAGCAUCCAAUAGCGUAUAUUACAGUUGUUGCAGUUACAAAAGCUCGUAGUUGAACUUCAGACCUGACCGGGACGGUACCGCCUAACGGUGUGUACUGUCUGGCCGGGCCUUACCUCUUGGUGAAGCCCGGCAUGCCCUUCAACUAGGGGUG
This 452-nucleotide ribosomal RNA is filed under the name uncultured fungus. RNAcentral describes it as "bacterial SSU rRNA". It matches the Rfam family "Eukaryotic small subunit ribosomal RNA", at positions 297 to 735 of the family's 1831-position model. The record is from RNAcentral. Lineage: Eukaryota; Fungi.